UACGAAGGGGGCUAGCGUUGUUCGGAAUCACUGGGCGUAAAGCGCAUGCAGGCGGAUCGUUAAGUCGGGGGUGAAAUCCCGAGGCUCAACCUCGGACCUGCCUUCGAUACUGGCGAUCUUGAGUCCGGGAGAGGUGAGUGGAACUGCGGGUGUAGAGGUGAAAUUCGUAGAUAUUCGCAAGAACACCAGUGGCGAAGGCGGCUCACUGGCCCGGUACUGACGCUCAGGUGCGAAAGCGCGGGGAGCAAACAGG
Molecule: ribosomal RNA, 253 nt
Filed under: uncultured bacterium
Lineage: Bacteria
Description: partial 16S ribosomal RNA
Rfam family: Bacterial small subunit ribosomal RNA
Source: RNAcentral